AGUGAACGCUGGCGGUAGGCCUAACACAUGCAAGUCGAACGGCAGCACAGUAAGAGCUUGCUCUUACGGGUGGCGAGUGGCGGACGGGUGAGGAAUACAUCGGAAUCUACUUUUUCGUGGGGGAUAACGUAGGGAAACUUACGCUAAUACCGCAUACGACCUACGGGUGAAAGCAGGGGAUCUUCGGACCUUGCGCGAUUGAAUGAGCCGAUGUCGGAUUAGCUAGUUGGCGGGGUAAAGGCCCACCAAGGCGACGAUCCGUAGCUGGUCUGAGAGGAUGAUCGGCCGCACUGGAACUGGGACACGGUCCAGGGUACUGAGGGAGGCAGCAGUGGGGAAUAUUGGACAACAGGCGCAAACCUUGUCCAGCCAUACCGAGUGGGUGAAGAAGGCCUUGGGGUUGUAAUGACCUUUUGUUGGGAAAGAAAAGCUGCAGGUUAAUACCCAGCUGUUCUGACGGUACCCAAAGAAUAAGCACCGGCUAACUACGUG
RNAcentral lists this ribosomal RNA (492 nucleotides) under uncultured bacterium. RNAcentral describes it as "partial 16S ribosomal RNA". It matches the Rfam family "Bacterial small subunit ribosomal RNA", at positions 29 to 507 of the family's 1533-position model. The record is from RNAcentral.